GACGAACGCUGGCGGCGUGCCUAACACAUGCAAGUCGAGCGGACGAAGGGAACUUGGCUCCGCGAUGUUAGGGGCGGGCGGGUGAGUAACACGUGGGUAACCUGGCUGUUAGAGUGGGAUAACUUCAGGAAAGCGGUGCUAAUACAGGAGAAUGGUGGGGAACUCAGGGUGGACAUCGGAAAGAUGGUUUCGGGUUGAACCUACGUAUGGUCCGGCGGCGGAUUAGCUAGUUGGUGAGGUAACGGCUCACCAAGGCAACGAUGCGUAGCCGACCUGAGAGGGUGAUCGGUCACACUGGAACUGAGACACGGUCCAGACUCCUACGGGAGGCAGCAGUAGGGAAUCUUCUGCAAUGGACGAAAGCCUGACGGAGCCACGCCGCGUGAGUGAUGAAGGUUUUCGGAUCGUAAAGCUCUGUUGUUUGGGAAGAACAACUGCCGGUGUAACCGUCGCUACCUUGACGUUACCUACACAGAAAGCACCGGCUAACUACGUG
Molecule: ribosomal RNA, 496 nt
Filed under: uncultured bacterium
Lineage: Bacteria
Description: partial 16S ribosomal RNA
Rfam family: Bacterial small subunit ribosomal RNA
Source: RNAcentral